RNAcentral lists this unclassified non-coding RNA (220 nucleotides) under plant metagenome. RNAcentral describes it as "partial contains small subunit ribosomal RNA, internal transcribed spacer 1, and 5.8S ribosomal RNA". The record is from RNAcentral.
UUUCCGUAGGUGAACCUGCGGAAGGAUCAUUCACAAUAAGUGUUUUAUGGCACUUUCUCAAUCCAUAUCCACCUUUUGUGGAAUGUUGUCUUGUAGUGCGAAUGCUUGUCAUUUGCGCUACAGGAUGUAAACAUCACCUCUUAUCUUUAACAACUUUGUCUAAAACCUGUAUGAAUACUUAAUUCAAAUACAACUUUCAACAACGGAUCUCUUGGCUCUC